AUCCAGCUGACGAGUCUCGAAUAGGACGAAACGCGCGUCCUCGAU
RNAcentral lists this non-coding RNA (45 nucleotides) under Schistosoma mansoni. The record is from RNAcentral. Lineage: Eukaryota; Metazoa; Platyhelminthes; Trematoda; Strigeidida; Schistosomatidae.